RNAcentral lists this ribosomal RNA (508 nucleotides) under uncultured bacterium. RNAcentral describes it as "partial 16S ribosomal RNA". It matches the Rfam family "Bacterial small subunit ribosomal RNA", at positions 28 to 507 of the family's 1533-position model. The record is from RNAcentral.
GACGAACGCUGGCGGCGUGCCUAAUACAUGCAAGUCGAACGCUUCUUUCCUCCCGAGUGCUUGCACUCAAUUGGAAAGCGGAGUGGCGGACGGGUGAGUAACACGUGGGUAACCUACCCAUCAGAGGGGGAUAACACUUGGAAACAGGUGCUAAUACCGCAUAACAGUUUAUGCCGCAUGGCAUAAGAGUGAAAGGCGCUUUCGGGUGUCGCUGAUGGAUGGACCCGCGGUGCAUUAGCUAGUUGGUGAGGUAACGGCUCACCAAGGCCACGAUGCAUAGCCGACCUGAGAGGGUGAUAGGCCACACUGGGACUGAGACACGGCCCAGACUCCUACGGGAGGCAGCAGUAGGGAAUCUUAGGCAAUGGACGAAAGUCUGACCGAGCAACGCCGCGUGAGUGAAGAAGGUGUUCGGAUCGUAAAACUCUGUUGUUAGAGAAGAACAAGGACGUUAGUAACUGAACGUCCCCUGACGGUAUCUAACCAGAAAGCCACGGCUAACUACGUG